AUGGUGGUAGGUGUAUAUAUACGUGGGUGGGUAGUAUAAUUUUUAUUAUAUUUUUCUUUAUUGUUUUAAGGGGUUCCUUCUUCUCCUUCACUAAAACCCUCGUUAUCAACGCCUAAUGUUUAAAUUGUUUAUUUGCUUCCCCUUAUAGUCUCAUUUCUAUAAUUUUAUUUUUGUAGAUCUAACUCCUUGCUCUUAUAGUUUUUCUAAAAUCUCAAGGAUACAGACUUAUGAAGGAUUAUUAAUCGAGAGACGACCUUGAAAAAUUAUUUUCUUCAUAGCGAAUUAGCGGUUUUCAGAUCUGCUUCUUUGAUGAACUCGAUGUUAAAUGAUAGAAAUUGGCAAAUUUGGAUGAGCUUGAUGACAAAGUAUAUAUAAAGGAGGGGUUGUGGUAUGAUGAUGACGGAAGCUAAAGACAGUGUCAUUGUGUCAGCCAUUUUCAUAUUGAGUUCAUCUUCAAGAAAAAUAAAAAACAAAUCUAAGUUUUGUUAUCAUUUUGCUUGAUGUUAUUAGUUUAUAAUUUAUUUACUGGUAUAUUUUUUGAUGAGGGAGUUACAAUACAUUGUAUAAUUAGUUUGUAUUCUAGGCUUCUAGCUUUGAGCAUUGAAAUUAACGACGAUAAAGAAUCUUGAAUAUCAAAUCUCAUUCAAUGGAAUUUUUUUUUUCA
This is a long non-coding RNA of Chenopodium quinoa (quinoa), 664 nucleotides long. RefSeq lists it as uncharacterized. Lineage: Eukaryota; Viridiplantae; Streptophyta; Magnoliopsida; Caryophyllales; Amaranthaceae. The transcript has 2 exons. The record is from RefSeq and is a predicted model, not a curated record.